This is a long non-coding RNA of Hypanus sabinus (Atlantic stingray), 549 nucleotides long. RefSeq lists it as uncharacterized. The record is from RefSeq and is a predicted model, not a curated record. NCBI's taxonomy places the organism in Eukaryota, Metazoa, Chordata, Chondrichthyes, Myliobatiformes, Dasyatidae. The transcript has 3 exons.
UGUGAGCAGCACUUACUGUGCAGCAUAGAACUUGCAUUGCUGGCAAUCAGCAAUAAGCUCAAGAAAACCAGCUAUGAUCUGUGCAAAGCUAUCAAGGCUGCAAAACAACAAUACAGGGACAAGAUUGAGUCAAGAUUCACAAUGAAUAGCACACAGGACUUGUGCUUUUCUAAUUUUAUGCUGGUUUGAUGUCACUAACUCUGAGCCUCCGAGGAAAAACACCGCUUCAACCUGCAACCUGGUCAUCUCUGAGGCUGAGGUAACAGAUGUUUCCAACAAGUGGACAGUUGCAAGGCUGCGGGACUGGAUGGCAUCCCAGGGCGAGUACUCAGGAUGUGCACAACACAACUGGCAAGUUCUUUUGAAGACCCUGACCUGGAGUUACAUGCUGGCUUUCGUUCUUUGCAGAAAUGGGACCCACUCUCAGGGACUCACAACCGACCGAUAUGCCAAGGACACGGCCUGGAAGUCUAGUGCACCUUCAGAGUGCUGGAUUCAAGGCCGGAGUUCGCCACCUGAUGUGUCAUGGGAGCACACGGACGAUUGAAA